ACCUGUCAUCACACGCUAUUUAUACAUCUGAAGAGACCCGAAUGUUUUUCGCAUAACCAUCGAACCGUCAAAAGCUAUUGGAUGUUGAGGGAAUACACGGAUCAUCUGCCACUGAAGCAGUUAUAUAAUUUCAGCUCGACAAUUGAAUGUUCAAAAUGAAUCGAGACGUAGAGAGAAAAGACCAGGCCACAGCGGAAGACGAUGACGAUGAUGACGAGGCCGAGAUCAUGGAGAUACGAGGCGUGGUGAUGAAGCCUGGGAUCGAGUGGAGUAUCGCCUGGGAACGUCACGUGGUCAGUGUGUAUACGGGAAUAGAGAUGUACCAAAACCUUAAGCUUCCCCAUGGCAACAAGAACCGCGAAAUUACCCGGAUGUUGGAAGAGAGCUUAACACAGAAUAAACGAGUGACUAUCGAUUAUAGAAUCGCCGAUAAGGAAAUACUUGAGGUGCGUUAUCGAUAAUGCACAAACUAAUCGUUGUCCAAUUAGAUUCGUUCUUUUAACAGCACUGUUAGCAAACUUAAUACAUCGUAUUCUUAGACAAGGAAAGGCAUUAUAAACUUCCUUUACUCUUAUUUUGAGAUAGCGUCGAAUUUUUAGUGCUUUAAUAAUAUUUAGUAAAAUUUUUGUUUUGAGAAAAGUGACCAAAGAAAUAGAAAAUUAAGAGUUUUAUUUAGUAAAAAAUAGAAAGAAAUCCUAAAAAGGCCUUGGAAAUUCAAGGACUGCCAAAAUUUUAUCAAAUAUGUUAUCUAGCUGACCAAAUUUAUGUUGUUUAUUUGUUAUUAAUUUAAUUUUUAAAAACAUUUACUUGGAAGAAUUUGGCUUUACAUCUGCAUUAGAAGUUUUAAUAAAGCAUUGCAACAUGCCAGAAAAA
This is a long non-coding RNA of Pocillopora damicornis (cauliflower coral), 873 nucleotides long. The record is from RefSeq and is a predicted model, not a curated record. Lineage: Eukaryota; Metazoa; Cnidaria; Anthozoa; Scleractinia; Pocilloporidae.